GAUGAACGCUAGCUACAGGCUUAACACAUGCAAGUCGAGGGGAAACGAUAUUGGAAGCUUGCUUCCGAUAGGCGUCGACCGGCGCACGGGUGAGUAACGCGUAUCCAACCUGCCCACCACUUGGGGAUAACCUUGCGAAAGUAAGACUAAUACCCAAUGAUAUCUCUAGAAGACAUCUGAAGGAGAUUAAAGAUUUAUCGGUGAUGGAUGGGGAUGCGUCUGAUUAGCUUGUUGGCGGGGUAACGGCCCACCAAGGCGACGAUCAGUAGGGGUUCUGGGAGGAAGGUCCCCCACAUGGGAACUGGGACACGGCCCAAACUCCUACGGGAGGCAGCAGUGAGGAAUAUUGGUCAAUGGGCGAGGGCCUGAACCAGCCAAGUAGCGUGCAGGAUGACGGCCCUAUGGGUUGUAAACUGCUUUUAUAAGGGAAUAAAGUGAGUCUCGUGAGACUUUUUGCAUGUACCUUAUGAAUAAGGACCGGCUAAUUCCGUGCCAGCAGCCGCCGCCG
RNAcentral lists this ribosomal RNA (508 nucleotides) under uncultured bacterium. Its description in RNAcentral is "partial 16S ribosomal RNA". It matches the Rfam family "Bacterial small subunit ribosomal RNA", at positions 28 to 523 of the family's 1533-position model. The record is from RNAcentral.